AGUGAACGCUGGCGGUAGGCCUAACACAUGCAAGUCGAACGGCAGCACAGUAAGAGUUUGCUCUUACGGGUGGCGAGUGGCGGACGGGUGAGGAAUACAUCGGAAUCUACUUUUUCGUGGGGGAUAACGUAGGGAAACUUACGCUAAUACCGCAUACGACGUACGGGUGAAAGCAGGGGAUCUUCGGACCUUGCGCGAUUGAAUGAGCCGAUGUCGGAUUAGCUAGUUGGCGGGGUAAAGGCCCACCAAGGCGACGAUCCGUAGCUGGUCUGAGAGGAUGAUCAGCCACACUGGAACUGAGACACGGUCCAGACUCCUACGGGAGGCAGCAGUGGGGAAUAUUGGACAAUGGGCGCAAGCCUGAUCCAGCCAUACCGCGUGGGUGAAGAAGGCCUUCGGGUUGUAAAGCCCUUUUGUUGGGAAAGAAAAGCAGCAGGUUAAUACCCCGCUGUUCUGACGGUACCCAAAGAAUAAGCACCGGCUAACUUCGUG
This 492-nucleotide ribosomal RNA is filed under the name uncultured bacterium. RNAcentral describes it as "partial 16S ribosomal RNA". It matches the Rfam family "Bacterial small subunit ribosomal RNA", at positions 29 to 507 of the family's 1533-position model. The record is from RNAcentral.